UACGUAGGUGGCAAGCGUUGUCCGGAUUUAUUGGGCGUAAAGAGCCCGCAGGCGGUUUGGAAAGUUUCGGGUGAAAUCUCCUGGCUUAACCGGGAGGGGUCUCGGAAAACUACCAGACUUGAGGCAGGGAGAGGGAUGUGGAAUUCCCGGUGUAGUGGUGAAAUGCGUAGAUAUCGGGAGGAACACCAGUGGCGAAGGCGGCAUCCUGGCCCUGUCCUGACGCUCAGGGGCGAAAGCGUGGGGAGCAAACCGG
RNAcentral lists this ribosomal RNA (253 nucleotides) under uncultured bacterium. RNAcentral's name for it is "partial 16S ribosomal RNA". It matches the Rfam family "Bacterial small subunit ribosomal RNA", at positions 524 to 776 of the family's 1533-position model. The record is from RNAcentral.